AUGCCUCCCAAUGUGACCCUGGUAAGGCUUGUUUACAGCAGUCAGCAGCGCAGAGAGGUGGAGCUGGAGUGGCAGAUGGAGGGAGAGGGAGAAGGAGGAGAGGGAGGAGGGCUGACUGGAUUUAUACUUGAGCGCAGACUAGAGGAGGCACCAGGGAGAAGGAGAGGAGAGGAGGAAAAAGAGAAGGACAGAGAGGAGGCUGGUGCAGAUCCUGCUGACCAAGAGGAGCAGCGACAGGAAAAAAGGAGUAGUUUCUCUCCAUGGAAGCAGGUGGUUGUAUUGGAAGCCAGGGAGAGGGUCCACACGCUGGGCAACAUGACCCCAACAGAUACCUACCAGAUACGCAUCACAGCUGUCAAUCACAGAACCCUCGGACACCCCUCCCCCCCAGAAACACCAGCGGACCCUCCCUUCAGUGCGUACCCUGCUGUGAUUGGAGCUGCCCUUGGAGGGAUGCUCAUCACAACCAUAGCAGCUGUUCUGCUGUUCAUGUACAUAUUCCGCAACUGCAACAACAACCCCAGACUCCAUGACAUGCUAUUCGGAAUGCAGCACAGCUGGUCCAGGGAGAACAUCAACCUCCCUGAUGAUGAGGUGAUGGGAGGAGUUGACGGAGAGGGAGGAGCUACAGAACAUUGCCCCUCCCCUAGCCAAGGUACCCUAAUGUCUCGUUAACAUAAUGAGACAUAAUCUCCCCCCAGGCCCAUGUCAUUAAAGUAGUAAUAUGUAGCAAUUGCUCCGUGAUUGGUUGCCACAAUUCUAUAAUGUUUGUCUAAUUUCAGUUUGAGACAGAACAAAACAAGUGUAGAAUAUUUACAUUGUAGUCAUUUAGCAGAUGCUCUAAUUCAGAGCAUAUCAUUGUAUAC
RNAcentral lists this long non-coding RNA (866 nucleotides) under Oncorhynchus mykiss (rainbow trout). Its description in RNAcentral is "lncRNA (ENSOMYG00000051450.1)". The record is from RNAcentral. Lineage: Eukaryota; Metazoa; Chordata; Actinopteri; Salmoniformes; Salmonidae.